RNAcentral lists this ribosomal RNA (461 nucleotides) under uncultured bacterium. Its description in RNAcentral is "partial 16S ribosomal RNA". It matches the Rfam family "Bacterial small subunit ribosomal RNA", at positions 338 to 795 of the family's 1533-position model. The record is from RNAcentral.
CCUACGGGAGGCUGCAGUGAGGAAUAUUGGUCAAUGGACGAGAGUCUGAACCAGCCAAGUAGCGUGAAGGAUGACUGCCCUAUGGGUUGUAAACUUCUUUUAUAUGGGAAUAAAACGUUCCACGUGUGGGCUUUUGUAUGUACCCUAUGAAUAAGGAUCGGCUAACUCCGUGCCAGCAGCCGCGGUAAUCCGGAGGAUCCGAGCGUUAUCCAGGUUUAUUGGGUUUAAAGGGAGCGUAGGUGGAUUGUUAAGUCAGUUGUGAAAGUUUGCGGCUCAACCGUAAAAUUGCAGUUGAAAAUGGCAGUCUUGAGUACAGUAGAGGUGGGCGGAAUUCGUGGUGUAGCGGUGGAAUGCUUAGAUAUCACGAAGAACUCCGAUUGCGAAGGCAGUUCAAUGGACUGCAACUGACACUGAGGCUCGAAAGUGUGGGUAUCAAACAGGAUUAGAUACCCCGAGUAGUC